This 218-nucleotide ribosomal RNA is filed under the name uncultured bacterium. Its description in RNAcentral is "partial 16S ribosomal RNA". It matches the Rfam family "Bacterial small subunit ribosomal RNA", at positions 524 to 742 of the family's 1533-position model. The record is from RNAcentral.
UACGGAGGAUCCGAGCGUUGUCCGGAUUUAUUGGGUUAAAGGGUGCGUAGGCGGUUUAUAAGUCAGUGGUUAAAGACUCUCGCUCAACGAGAGGGAUGCCAUUGAUACUGUAGAACUUGAGUACUGUAGAGGUAGGCGGAAUUGGUAGUGUAGCGGUGAAAUGCAUAGAUACUACCAGGAACACCGAUUGCGAAGGCAGCUUACUGGAGAGUAACGUG